RNAcentral lists this ribosomal RNA (407 nucleotides) under Leptodactylus mystaceus (basin white-lipped frog). Its description in RNAcentral is "partial 16S ribosomal RNA". It matches the Rfam family "Bacterial large subunit ribosomal RNA", at positions 1822 to 2422 of the family's 2925-position model. Lineage: Eukaryota; Metazoa; Chordata; Amphibia; Anura; Leptodactylidae. The record is from RNAcentral.
CUUGACAAACUUAUAAGAGGUCCAGCCUGCCCAGUGACUCUGUUCAACGGCCGCGGUAUCCUAACCGUGCGAAGGUAGCGUAAUCACUUGUUCUUUAAAUGAGGACUAGUAUGAAUGGCACCACGAAGGUUAUACUGUCUCCUUUUUCUAAUCAGUGAAACUAAUCUUCCCGUGAAGAAACGGGAAUAAAAAUAUAAGACGAGAAGACCCUAUGGAGCUUUAAACAAAUAUACACCUGCCUCUUUACCAAAAAAUUUCAGAAGACAAGUAGUUAUCCAGGCAUUUUGAUAUAGCGUUUUAGGUUGGGGUGACCGCGGAGCAAAAAAUAACCUCCGCAGCGAACGGGAAUAUUCCCUAAACUAAGGGCCACAACCCCAAGUAUUGAUAAAUCAACACUAAUUGACCCA